Molecule: ribosomal RNA, 242 nt
Filed under: uncultured Porphyromonadaceae bacterium
Lineage: Bacteria; Pseudomonadati; Bacteroidota; Bacteroidia; Bacteroidales; Porphyromonadaceae
Description: partial 16S ribosomal RNA
Rfam family: Bacterial small subunit ribosomal RNA
Source: RNAcentral
CACGCCGUAAACGAUGAUUACUCGCUGUUUGCGAUACACAGUAAGCGGCUUAGCGAAAGCGUUAAGUAAUCCACCUGGGGAGUACGUUCGCAAGAAUGAAACUCAAAGGAAUUGACGGGGGCCCGCACAAGCGGAGGAGCAUGUGGUUUAAUUCGAUGAUACGCGAGGAACCUUACCCGGGCUUGAAAUGCAUUUGACCGGCUCAGAGACGAGUCUUCCCUUCGGGGCAAAUGUGUAGGUGC